This 159-nucleotide ribosomal RNA is filed under the name Morus serrata. RNAcentral's name for it is "5.8S ribosomal RNA". The stretch from base 19 to 159 matches the Rfam family "5.8S ribosomal RNA". Rfam says of the family: 5.8S ribosomal RNA (5.8S rRNA) is a component of the large subunit of the eukaryotic ribosome. It is transcribed by RNA polymerase I as part of the 45S precursor that also contains 18S and 28S rRNA. Lineage: Eukaryota; Viridiplantae; Streptophyta; Magnoliopsida; Rosales; Moraceae. The record is from RNAcentral.
UUGGUUUAAGUCUAAAAUGACUCUCGGCAACGGAUAUCUCGGCUCUCGCAUCGAUGAAGAACGUAGCGAAAUGCGAUACUUGGUGUGAAUUGCAGAAUCCCGUGAACCAUCGAGUCUUUGAACGCAAGUUGCGCCUGAAGCCAUCAGGUUGAGGGCACG